UCAAUGGCCUAACGGCUGAACCAGCAACUUGGAAGAAUGUAUAGCAAUAGCUAAUUGUAUUAACAAUGGUUUUUACAAUAUCGACUAUGUCGAAUAAAAUUCUAGGUAGAUAGAUGAUAAUGACACUAUCUAUUUAUGGUCUUGACUAAAUUACGUGCCAGCAGUCGCGGUAAUACGUAAUAGACCAGUGUUAUUCAUCUUUAAUAGGUUUAAAGCGUACUUAGACGGUAAUUAUUGCUUGAAUAAGGUACAUUAUUACUAGAGUUAUAUGUGAGAGUGCUUGAAAGUACUGUUGAGUGGAGAGAUGAUAUUCUUUUAUACCAGACGAUUGGCACAGAUAUUGGCGAAAGCAUCACUUUAUGUAAUAACUGACGUUGACAGACGAAGGCUAUGUAUCGCAAAAAGGAUUAGGUACCCUCGUAGUCUUAGCAGAAAAUUAUGAAUGUCAUAAAUUAGAUACUAUUUAGUUUAUUAAUGAAAGUGUGA
This 486-nucleotide ribosomal RNA is filed under the name Dictyonema sp. RURAMK. RNAcentral describes it as "SSU rRNA". It matches the Rfam family "Bacterial small subunit ribosomal RNA", at positions 368 to 862 of the family's 1533-position model. Lineage: Eukaryota; Fungi; Basidiomycota; Agaricomycetes; Agaricales; Hygrophoraceae. The record is from RNAcentral.